This 329-nucleotide ribosomal RNA is filed under the name Coris julis (Mediterranean rainbow wrasse). RNAcentral describes it as "partial small subunit ribosomal RNA". It matches the Rfam family "Bacterial small subunit ribosomal RNA", at positions 866 to 1362 of the family's 1533-position model. The record is from RNAcentral. Lineage: Eukaryota; Metazoa; Chordata; Actinopteri; Labriformes; Labridae.
CAUCCGCCCGGGUACUACGAGCAUCAGCUUAAAACCCAAAGGACUUGGCGGUGCUUUAGAUCCACCUAGAGGAGCCUGUUCUAGAACCGAUAAUCCCCGUUAAACCUCACCUUUCCUUGUCUAAUCCGCCUAUAUACCGCCGUCGUCAGCUUACCCUAUGAAGGGUAUAAAGUAAGCACAACCGGUUCAACCUAAAACGCCAGGUCGAGGUGUAGCGCAUGGAAGGGGAAGAAAUGGGCUACAUUCGAUAGCCAUAUUGAAUACGAAUGACAUCCUGAAAAAAUGUCUGAAGGAGGAUUUAGCAGUAAACAGAGAACAGAGUGCUCUAU